Molecule: ribosomal RNA, 2992 nt
Filed under: Salmonella enterica subsp. enterica serovar Typhimurium
Lineage: Bacteria; Pseudomonadati; Pseudomonadota; Gammaproteobacteria; Enterobacterales; Enterobacteriaceae
Description: 23S ribosomal RNA
Rfam family: Bacterial large subunit ribosomal RNA
Source: RNAcentral
GGUUAAGCGACUAAGCGUACACGGUGGAUGCCCUGGCAGUCAGAGGCGAUGAAGGGCGUGCUAAUCUGCGAUAAGCGCCGGUAAGGUGAUAUGAACCGUUAUAACCGGCGAUACCCGAAUGGGGAAACCCAGUGUGAUUCGUCACACUAUCAUUAACUGAAUCCAUAGGUUAAUGAGGCGAACCGGGGGAACUGAAACAUCUAAGUACCCCGAGGAAAAGAAAUCAACCGAGAUUCCCCCAGUAGCGGCGAGCGAACGGGGAGGAGCCCAGAGCCUGAAUCAGCAUGUGUGUUAGUGGAAGCGUCUGGAAAGGCGCGCGAUACAGGGUGACAGCCCCGUACACAAAAGCGCAUGUGCUGUGAGCUCGAUGAGUAGGGCGGGACACGUGGUAUCCUGUCUGAAUAUGGGGGGACCAUCCUCCAAGGCUAAAUACUCCUGACUGACCGAUAGUGAACCAGUACCGUGAGGGAAAGGCGAAAAGAACCCCGGCGAGGGGAGUGAAAAAGAACCUGAAACCGUGUACGUACAAGCAGUGGGAGCACAGGUUUACCUGUGUGACUGCGUACCUUUUGUAUAAUGGGUCAGCGACUUAUAUUCUGUAGCAAGGUUAACCGUAUAGGGGAGCCGGAGGGAAACCGAGUCUUAAUUGGGCGUUAAGUUGCAGGGUAUAGACCCGAAACCCGGUGAUCUAGCCAUGGGCAGGUUGAAGGUUGGGUAACACUAACUGGAGGACCGAACCGACUAAUGUUGAAAAAUUAGCGGAUGACCUGUGGCUGGGGGUGAAAGGCCAAUCAAACCGGGAGAUAGCUGGUUCUCCCCGAAAGCUAUUUAGGUAGCGCCUCGUGAAUUCAUCUCCGGGGGUAGAGCACUGUUUCGGCUAGGGGGCCAUCCCGGCUUACCAACCCGAUGCAAACUGCGAAUACCGGAGAAUGUUAUCACGGGAGACACACGGCGGGUGCUAACGUCCGUCGUGAAGAGGGAAACAACCCAGACCGCCAGCUAAGGUCCCAAAGUCAUGGUUAAGUGGGAAACGAUGUGGGAAGGCCCAGACAGCCAGGAUGUUGGCUUAGAAGCAGCCAUCAUUUAAAGAAAGCGUAAUAGCUCACUGGUCGAGUCGGCCUGCGCGGAAGAUGUAACGGGGCUAAACCAUGCACCGAAGCUGCGGCAGCGAACGUAUCACCCAAGACAACUUUACGGAGUUGACGAUUGACGGAGCGAAGCGACGUCAAAGCGUUCAUUAAAGUCGAGUUGGCUUAGGGAUACGUUCGUUGGGUAGGGGAGCGUUCUGUAAGCCUGUGAAGGUGACCUGUGAGGGUUGCUGGAGGUAUCAGAAGUGCGAAUGCUGACAUAAGUAACGAUAAAGCGGGUGAAAAGCCCGCUCGCCGGAAGACCAAGGGUUCCUGUCCAACGUUAAUCGGGGCAGGGUGAGUCGACCCCUAAGGCGAGGCCGAAAGGCGUAGUCGAUGGGAAACGGGUUAAUAUUCCCGUACUUGGUGUUACUGCGAAGGGGGGACGGAGAAGGCUAUGUUGGCCGGGCGACGGUUGUCCCGGUUUAAGCGUGUAGGUGUGUGUUCCAGGUAAAUCCGGUUCACUUUAACACUGAGGCGUGACGACGAGGCACUACGGUGCUGAAGCAACAAAUGCCCUGCUUCCAGGAAAAGCCUCUAAGCAUCAGGUAACACGAAAUCGUACCCCAAACCGACACAGGUGGUCAGGUAGAGAAUACCAAGGCGCUUGAGAGAACUCGGGUGAAGGAACUAGGCAAAAUGGUGCCGUAACUUCGGGAGAAGGCACGCUGACACGUAGGUGAAGUGAUUUACUCAUGGAGCUGAAGUCAGUCGAAGAUACCAGCUGGCUGCAACUGUUUAUUAAAAACACAGCACUGUGCAAACACGAAAGUGGACGUAUACGGUGUGACGCCUGCCCGGUGCCGGAAGGUUAAUUGAUGGGGUCAGCGCAAGCGAAGCUCCUGAUCGAAGCCCCGGUAAACGGCGGCCGUAACUAUAACGGUCCUAAGGUAGCGAAAUUCCUUGUCGGGUAAGUUCCGACCUGCACGAAUGGCGUAAUGAUGGCCAGGCUGUCUCCACCCGAGACUCAGUGAAAUUGAACUCGCUGUGAAGAUGCAGUGUACCCGCGGCAAGACGGAAAGACCCCGUGAACCUUUACUAUAGCUUGACACUGAACAUUGAGCCUUGAUGUGUAGGAUAGGUGGGAGGCUUUGAAGUGUGGACGCCAGUCUGCAUGGAGCCGACCUUGAAAUACCACCCUUUAAUGUUUGAUGUUCUAACGUGGACCCGUAAUCCGGGUUGCGGACAGUGUCUGGUGGGUAGUUUGACUGGGGCGGUCUCCUCCUAAAGAGUAACGGAGGAGCACGAAGGUUGGCUAAUCCUGGUCGGACAUCAGGAGGUUAGUGCAAUGGCAUAAGCCAGCUUGACUGCGAGCGUGACGGCGCGAGCAGGUGCGAAAGCAGGUCAUAGUGAUCCGGUGGUUCUGAAUGGAAGGGCCAUCGCUCAACGGAUAAAAGGUACUCCGGGGAUAACAGGCUGAUACCGCCCAAGAGUUCAUAUCGACGGCGGUGUUUGGCACCUCGAUGUCGGCUCAUCACAUCCUGGGGCUGAAGUAGGUCCCAAGGGUAUGGCUGUUCGCCAUUUAAAGUGGUACGCGAGCUGGGUUUAGAACGUCGUGAGACAGUUCGGUCCCUAUCUGCCGUGGGCGCUGGAGAACUGAGGGGGGCUGCUCCUAGUACGAGAGGACCGGAGUGGACGCAUCACUGGUGUUCGGGUUGUCAUGCCAAUGGCACUGCCCGGUAGCUAAAUGCGGAAGAGAUAAGUGCUGAAAGCAUCUAAGCACGAAACUUGCCCCGAGAUGAGUUCUCCCUGAGACUUAGAGUCUCCUGAAGGAACGUUGAAGACGACGACGUUGAUAGGCCGGGUGUGUAAGCGCAGCGAUGCGUUGAGCUAACCGGUACUAAUGAACCGUGAGGCUUAACCUU